This 3245-nucleotide long non-coding RNA is filed under the name Vigna radiata. Its description in RNAcentral is "long non-coding RNA (VRAD_LNC009835)". Lineage: Eukaryota; Viridiplantae; Streptophyta; Magnoliopsida; Fabales; Fabaceae. The record is from RNAcentral.
UCAGUUCCUAGUUUUGUACCUAGUAGUCUAGUGCAGACUCUUGGUGUUCCAUGUACUCUUGUGAUUUUCAUUAUAAAUAAAAGAUAAUGAGAGGGAUCAUUCAGCCCUAAAGAAUAUUUCUUCUCAGUCUUAAGUCUCAAGUAUUAAUAACUAACAAGGAAGAAUCUGAAUCUUAUGAUUGGCUAGAGAAUUCCAUACAUCCCAAAGAUUGGGCCAAGUAUGUCCAUGACCUGAAAUAAAUUGUUUUGCUCUAGACAAUAAAGAGCAAAUCAAUAUAUACUGAUAUAGGAAACUACAAAUUGUAUCUUACCAAAAUGUACAAAUCUCAUUGCCAACCCUUAUAAUUAACCCAAGGGAUUCCAUAACAGCCAUUUAUGUUAGACGAUCUCUGCACUGCUUUAACUUCUAUUGUGUCUCCAAUUACCUUUUAAAAUCUUCUAAUUCUUUUUUCUCUCUCUGCAUCAAAAUCCUUCCUGAAUUGAGUAAAUAUAAACAUUAGGAUUUAAAUAUCAGCAUUAAUUCAAGACGGUGACAUUCAAUUGUUCAAUUAACUGCAGAAGCAUUUGGAUUUAAAUAGCUUUGGAUCCUAGGGAACUUCCUUCAAUGACCAACCUCAGCAAACACGUGAGAUAUUAUCAAAUUAACAUGAUUAAUACGAACUACUUAUUUAUCAUUUAUCACACAUAAAUUGUGCUCAUAAGGACCUCCAACACCAGUCAUUGUAUAAUUUAAUAUUAGUUCCUAAAGGACAUAUUUAUCACGUUUGCGUGCAUCUAAAAUUUACAAAAAUGGCAAAUGCUAAAUUUUAAUUUUAUAAAUUGAAAUAUUAAGAAUAUCUAUUCAUCAGCCAUUGCUCGUUAGUUAUAUUCAUUAUGCUAGUACGCAACUGCAAACUUAAUUACAUAUAAAAUGUAAAGAUGAAAUGAUAUGGGUCGAGUCCUCAUAGUGCAAAUGAAAUCUAUAGGUGUAGGAAGGAUGGAACCAAAAUGAUAAUAACUAAUCCUACGUCCUCCUCCAAUAUUUAAAUAAACUCAAAACCUUGAGCUUGGAUUUCAUCAAUGUAGUUGAUCAUAAUGGUGGCAGCACCCUUGAAAAUGUUUACAUGAAAGAGUUGAAAAAGAAAACAACUAUAUUUAGAUAAAGAUUAAGAAUCAACAUAAAUGUAAAAAGAGGUGUAUAACUUAAUAUACCAAAGCAAAAGUAAAAUCAACAAAAAUAAUAAUAAUAAUUUCCAUUUAAGCUUGAUCAUUGCUGAACCGAGAUGGUAGUGGGGCAUUACAAGUUAUCAACCAAUGUUGAGAGAAAAUUAAACAAUGAAUUAGGCAUCAGUAACACCAUGAACCAGACAACAACCUCUAAAUGAAAUCACGAAUAUCAUAUUACAACUGGUCUAUAACAGUUUUUGAGUAAAUACAAUACCAACUAGUGCCUACAAGAGAUCCAACAAAACUGUGUAAUCCGAUUAGACUAUACAGGACAGUAAACAACCUGCACACAAAUCCUCACGGCAAAUACAAUUCAUAUGGAAUUACAUAGACAGUUAACCACAAACAGUAUAGACCACCAGAGUUCCAAUUCAUUUACCUAAUGAGCAUGCAUUUGUGAUCUUUCUAUACACUUAAUAUCAGGGAACAAGACUUUUAUUACUAGCUCAAAACUAUUUUAGCAAUCAUCACCGUUUGCAUCACUCAAUUAUAGAUUCAACGUUAGCAAUCAUCACCGUUAACUUUCUCAACCCUAUACAAACAUACAAUACAUCCUAGAAACUUAAACCACAAAUUCAAAACUACCCUGAACAGCUAAGGAAACUAUAACGACAAUAAAUAGAUUAUAGAAACUUAACAAAUUUCAGCAUUUGUAAAUUCCUUUAUCUCUUGUAUCCCAUAAUUUCCAGGAUCAGUUUCACAUGAAUAAUAUUUUCCAGAUUUAAAUUAUCAAAUCUUUUCUUUUUCAAAUUAACCAAAAUCACAUUUUAUAACUAGACAUGCGCUCAAUAUUAACAUAACAAAUUUAUGAAACAAGAAUUAAAAUCAAAGACCUAGAUAAGCACCCAAAAACAAACACAUUCAGUUUAGUUCCCAAUGUCCUAAUAUCUCAUUAUAAAACUUCAUUCAACUUUAUCCUAUUUCCCCAAAAACAGACCUGUUUCCUUUAAUUGAUUAACACAGAGUAAAAUAAAAUAAGAAUGAUGUGAUCUCUACAUUAUCAAGAUUAUGAACUGCUUAACUAGGUUUUAGUUUAACUUAAUUCAUUUCAUANANNAAUUCAUAAUUAAAUUUACUCUAAACACAUGCCCAUUCAUUUGUAAAUGCAUAUCAACCUUGCUCAAAAACGGAAAGCACAAUCACAUUAUAAAAAUUUCCAGCCAGUGCAUUGAUUGAUCAUAAAAUUCAUUUCUUGGUUAUAAGUUUAUUUUCAAUUUAAGAUACAAUGUUCCUAACAAUACAAUGUUCCUGAAUCUCACACAAAUUCAAUGUUUGCUCCUGCAUGCAUUUUCCCCAAUUUCCUUAAAACAACUUUUUUUCCCAGAACGUUUCCCCCCCUUUUACCAAAACCCAUUAACCUCAAAAGCCAUUUUACAGAUUGAACAAAACCAAUGCAACAUUAGAAAAUUCUCAAUUUUUUUAUGCACAAACGAUAACUCAACUCCCCUCAUAAGAUACCCGAAUGAGCAUUAAGAUAGGAGAACAUGUCAGACCUCAUAUAACAAAUGAGUACAGUAAAAAAAACUCCUCAUACCUGGAUUUUGAUUCCUGCACUCUCCCACCGAACACCGUGACUUUCUCAGUCCUCUCUUUCACCCUUAGGUUUCUCAAAAUGCUUGAUUAGGUGUCUCUAUCCUUCCUUCUCUAGCCCCUUUUUCAGGUUUCAUCUAAAUCCCCAAUUCGGAUCCCCGAAACCCUAAAAUCAUGCUCACCAUCCUCUGAUUCUAUCUUCCCUUUACCCACUUUAAAACCAAGCCUUCAUCUCUCUCCCAGCGUUUAAUGUCUGUCGCUAUUUCCCCUGUGGUCCUACAGUUUUAGAUAAGAAAAAAAAAUGAAAACAAAGAAAGAACAAGAGAAGAAAAUAAAGAAGAAAAAAGAAGAACGAGCUUUCGAAUUUAAGCAUGCCGUCGACCCCGAAUUCUCUUUCGCCAAUUUCUUUGGAUUUCUCGACCCAGCUCCAAGAAAGAAGUAAAAAAAUAAAGAGAAAAGAAAUGAGGACAGAAAAUAUAAUUAAUUUUGUUCUCAACCGGUAACGAAUCC